CGGGCUGUAGCGCAGCUUGGUAGCGCGCCUGACUGGGGGUCAGGAGGUCGGCGGUUCGAGUCCGCCCAGCCCGA
Molecule: transfer RNA, 74 nt
Filed under: Planctomycetota bacterium
Lineage: Bacteria; Pseudomonadati; Planctomycetota
Also listed under: 1 other name
Description: tRNA-Pro
Rfam family: tRNA
About the family: Transfer RNA (tRNA) molecules are approximately 80 nucleotides in length. Their secondary structure includes four short double-helical elements and three loops (D, anti-codon, and T loops). Further hydrogen bonds mediate the characteristic L-shaped molecular structure. tRNAs have two regions of fundamental functional importance: the anti-codon, which is responsible for specific mRNA codon recognition, and the 3' end, to which the tRNAs corresponding amino acid is attached (by aminoacyl-tRNA synthetases). tRNAs cope with the degeneracy of the genetic code in two manners: having more than one tRNA (with a specific anti-codon) for a particular amino acid; and 'wobble' base-pairing, i.e. permitting non-standard base-pairing at the 3rd anti-codon position.
Source: RNAcentral